RNAcentral lists this ribosomal RNA (497 nucleotides) under uncultured bacterium. RNAcentral describes it as "partial 16S ribosomal RNA". It matches the Rfam family "Bacterial small subunit ribosomal RNA", at positions 28 to 507 of the family's 1533-position model. The record is from RNAcentral.
GACGAACGCUGGCGGCGUGCCUAAUACAUGCAAGUAGAACGCUGAAGGAAGGAGCUUGCUCUUUCUGGAUGAGUUGCGAACGGGUGAGUAACGCGUAGGUAACCUGCCUGGUAGCGGGGGAUAACUAUUGGAAACGAUAGCUAAUACCGCAUAAAAUUGAUUAUUGCAUGAUAGUCAAUUAAAAGGUGCAACUGCACCACUACCAGAUGGACCUGCGUUGUAUUAGCUAGUUGGUGGGGUAACGGCUCACCAAGGCGACGAUACAUAGCCGACCUGAGAGGGUGAUCGGCCACACUGGGACUGAGACACGGCCCAGACUCCUACGGGAGGCAGCAGUAGGGAAUCUUCGGCAAUGGACGGAAGUCUGACCGAGCAACGCCGCGUGAGUGAAGAAGGGUUUCGGAUCGUAAAGCUCUGUUGUAAGAGAAGAACGAGUGUGAGAGUGGAAAGUUCACACUGUGACGGUAUCUUACCAGAAAGGGACGGCUAACUACGUG